This 391-nucleotide ribosomal RNA is filed under the name uncultured bacterium. Its description in RNAcentral is "bacterial SSU rRNA". It matches the Rfam family "Bacterial small subunit ribosomal RNA", at positions 1045 to 1437 of the family's 1533-position model. The record is from RNAcentral.
AUGGCUGUCGUCAGCUCGUGUCGUGAGAUGUUGGGUUAAGUCCCGCAACGAGCGCAACCCUUGUCCUUAGUUGCCAGCAUUAGGUUGGGCACUCUAAGGAGACUGCCGGUGAUAAGCCGGAGGAAGGUGGGGAUGACGUCAAGUCCUCAUGGCCCUUACGCGCUGGGCUACACACGUGCUACAAUGGGCAGUACAGAGGGAAGCGAGACCGCGAGGUGGAGCGGAUCCCUUAAAGCUGUUCGUAGUCCGGAUCGGAGUCUGCAACUCGACUCCGUGAAGUCGGAAUCGCUAGUAAUCGCAGGUCAGCAUACUGCGGUGAAUACGUUCCCGGGCCUUGUACACACCGCCCGUGGGGCGGGGGCGGCGGGCCGGGCGCGGGGCGCGGCGGGCG